This 497-nucleotide ribosomal RNA is filed under the name uncultured bacterium. RNAcentral describes it as "partial 16S ribosomal RNA". It matches the Rfam family "Bacterial small subunit ribosomal RNA", at positions 28 to 507 of the family's 1533-position model. The record is from RNAcentral.
GAUGAACGCUGGCGGCGUGCCUAAUACAUGCAAGUCGAGCGAACAGACGAGGAGCUUGCUCCUCUGACGUUAGCGGCGGACGGGUGAGUAACACGUGGAUAACCUACCUAUAAGACUGGGAUAACUUCGGGAAACCGGAGCUAAUACCGGAUAAUAUAUUGAACCGCAUGGUUCAAUAGUGAAAGACGGUUUUGCUGUCACUUAUAGAUGGAUCCGCCCCGCAUUAGCUAGUUGGUAAGGUAACGGCUUACCAAGGCGACGAUGCGUAGCCGACCUGAGAGGGUGAUCGGCCACACUGGAACUGAGACACGGUCCAGACUCCUACGGGAGGCAGCAGUAGGGAAUCUUCCGCAAUGGGCGAAAGCCUGACGGAGCAACGCCGCGUGAGUGAUGAAGGUCUUCGGAUCGUAAAACUCUGUUAUUAGGGAAGAACAAAUGUGUAAGUAACUAUGCACGUCUUGACGGUACCUAAUCAGAAAGCCACGGCUAACUACGUG